GUUAAGUUACUUUAUGAUCAAUUUGUCUGGAGAGUCUAUCCAUGUACAUGAUAAAGAUGUAAGGGGUGAGAGGUCCCCUUGUUUAAUACCUCUAUAAGGGUGGAAGAGGUAUGUACUAUUGUGAUAUAGCAGGAUCGUGAUUGAUUCCUAAGUGAUGCCGGACAUGAUGAGCUUGAUAGUGCAUUCCAAAAAAUUGUAGAAGAUGAGGGUGAUCCUAAUGAUGAACAAUUAAAUCAUGUCAAAGGACUUUUCACGGUCAAUUUUGAGGAUCAUAUUUGAACAUCUCCUCCACAUGCUAUCAAAAUGGGAAAUGUAAUCCUCGAUAAUGAUAGCAUUGUCAGCAGCUCUCCUGUUGGAGAGAAAGCUAGCUUGGUUGGGGUCAAUGAUAGUGCUAAGGUGCAGCUUAAGUAUGUUGACUAUGAUUUUGGUGGCUAACUUAUACAUUGUGUUGUA
This 453-nucleotide long non-coding RNA is filed under the name Nicotiana benthamiana. RNAcentral's name for it is "long non-coding RNA (NBEN_LNC027541)". Lineage: Eukaryota; Viridiplantae; Streptophyta; Magnoliopsida; Solanales; Solanaceae. The record is from RNAcentral.